CAGCUCGUGUCGUGAGAUGUUGGGUUAAGUCCCGUAACGAGCGCAACCCUUGUCCUUAGUUGCCAGCACAUUAUGGUGGNAACUCUAAGGAGACUGCCGGUGACAAACCGGAGGAAGGUGGGGACGACGUCAAGUCAUCAUGGCCCUUACGACCUGGGCUACACACGUGCUACAAUGGGGCGUACAAAGGGCAGCUAAGCCGCGAGGUGGAGCUAAUCCCAUAAAGCGUCUCGUAGUCCGGAUUGGAGUCUGCAACUCGACUCCAUGAAGUCGGAAUCGCUAGUAAUCGUGAAUCAGAAUGU
This 302-nucleotide ribosomal RNA is filed under the name uncultured Gammaproteobacteria bacterium. RNAcentral describes it as "bacterial SSU rRNA". It matches the Rfam family "Bacterial small subunit ribosomal RNA", at positions 1056 to 1357 of the family's 1533-position model. The record is from RNAcentral. Lineage: Bacteria; Pseudomonadati; Pseudomonadota; Gammaproteobacteria.